Molecule: long non-coding RNA, 3220 nt
Organism: Passer domesticus (house sparrow)
Lineage: Eukaryota; Metazoa; Chordata; Aves; Passeriformes; Passeridae
Exons: 3
Source: RefSeq, a predicted model, not a curated record
GCAGCGAGCAGCCCGGCAAGCCUCGGGAAGAUGCCCCAGCGCAAGCCUUAGUUUUCCAGUGGGAUCCUCUAAAGGAGAAGCAGCAACAGAAGUGAAAAAGGAAUGUGUUUGUGUACUCAUGUGGAUGCAUGAAUGACAAAUCAGUACAUCACAUGGCAGAAUCAUAUAGUGUCUGAGAAGCAGAUAGACUGGUUCAUAGGAAGACUCACCUACUCAUCUGUUCAUUCUCAAGAAAUGUAAACUCCUUAAUUCACUGCACAUCUAACUGGAAAACCCAGGGCCCUGUGAUGUAUCCUGAGCCCUACCACCCAAGGAAGCACUGCAAUUUGAUGACACAUUAAACAGUGUCACUAGUAGAAACAACUUCUAGGUAUAAACACUGAAAAUCUUUACAAGUACUGGUCAAUUGCUUGUUGAAGAAACUGCUGUCAGAGGGUCCCCCUUCAGCUGGCUGCUACCAUCCCUUUGCCAGUAGCUGUCCACACCACAGAGCUCCCCUUCAUUCCUAUUACAAAUGGUAGCAGGUUAAUUUAACACAAGAAAAGCUCUUUACUUUAAUCUGGCUGACAUUACCCUAGAGCAGAUUCUCACUGUCUCUUUCCACAUGGCUUUCAGGGCAAUGGCAUUACAAAAAAAAAAAAAAGUUGGUAACCAACAACAAAAAGGAAAGCACAUCUGAAACCAGUGUGCUGAUCUACAGUGGAUGUAUACCACAUCCUAAAACACAAAAUGUCAGUCAAAGAUGAAAUCUGCAGGCAAAACCAAUCUUUGCAUGCCAGUGCCUUUCCUUUGAAAGAGAUUAAAGAAAAAAGUAAUUGCAGUGAAAAACUACUCCGUUACCUAAACAAAAUCUAAGAGCACAUACCUUGAAGAAAAAGAAUGCAUUCUGGAAAUUAUUAACAACUAGUUGACUUCCCUUAUGGUAAUGUUAGAAUUUGAAGCUAAGGAAAAAGACAGUAAAUUUCAGCAGAUAGAUCUCAAUUUCCCUUCUCUAGUGCUCAGACCUGAAUGUUAACAUGAUAGUAAAUUUUGGCCACAGCAACUUUUUUCCUUGAUUUUUAUUUCUUUCCUGUGAAACACUGAAAGUGUUUUUAUCUUUUUUUCAUUUCAGUCUGGUUUAGGUUCGUCAAAUUUUAUUUUUCUGUACAACUGCCCAAAAUGCUGAGUGUUAUGGUGAUAUACACAAAUUUCAAACUGAGUUUCCAAGGCUUUCUUCUGGAAAAUGCCAAUUUCUUCUAAAACACUCAUUUUCAAUUGAAAAAAAAAAAUUGAGCUUCUCUUUUCUCAGGAUGGAUCUCAUUUCAAGCUUGCAGUGAUUUGUCACCUUUUCAUCCAAAUCUUGGAAUAUAAUUCAAGAUGAUUUUCCAAUUAGCCAGAUCUUGAUGUAGAGUGGAAGAGGCACUUCUGUGGAGCUUGCAUUGGUCUGUAGGUUCCCCCUGUAGCUGUCAAUGAAAAUCUUCUCUUGAUUAUGGCAAGGAAAGGAAAGGAGGCUUGAAAGAGUGGGAACACCCAGUAGAAAAUAAAAAUCUUUACAAAGAAUUAAAGAUUUCUAUUCUACUCUGUCUUUAUUGUCAGCAAAUCUCAAAACAAAUAUAAAUAGUGCCCCUUAGCACCAAUAUAUCUGACUCCCUCAGGUUUCCCCAUCCUUCUUUUGUUAAUACCUUAUUUUUGUUAAUAAUCUUUUGUUAAUAUUUGUUAAUAUCAGUCCUAUGGAAAAUGAAACCUGGUAAGUACUGAUCAGCCUAGGCAUGGAAACCAAUGCUGCAUUACUCAAAUAAGAAGGAUCUCCCUGAUUUCAAACAGGAGUCUGAAAAACCAAGUGACACCAACACGAAGUCCCCCAUGUCCCUUCCCAGAUGUCCCUCAGCCAGGACUUGCCUAUUCCCUGCUGCUGCAAACCUGGGUCUUUUCACACCAGAAUACAGCACUCAUGCCAAAUUGUGAAGUGGUUUUACAAGGUGGAAAGGCACCAGCUAGGGGCUAAAGAAAGGCCAAUAAACUUCUCUAACUUGUAACAAAAUAACAGAUUUAAACCCAGGUCAACUGAGGUGAAGGGCAAGUGCAUUAAUCGCCUGCAUUAACAAGGCUCUGUGUGCCUGCAGCAGCCCUCAAUUGGAAAAGACAGUACAUCUUCCUGUAAAUAAGACAAAUAAACAGCAGCUACAACAACAAGUCUUCCCCCAAUUUCUUUUACUUUUCAUUAAAUGAGUAAUCUGAUUUUUAUUAAGUCCUCUUCAAAGGCCAUGCAGGCCACUCUUUCUAACUGUGCCUGUUUGCAGCAGAUGCACACUCCGAGAUGCACAUCACGGCCUGACGGGGGCCUGGAAAGGAACCUCAGCCAGUUUUGUUCUUAAGUGAUAAUCGAAGAAAUCCUCUGUCACGUGUUGUGGCAGUGUGAGUUGGCCAUACCAGGACGAAGAGUCAUGCAGAUGUUACCCAAAUGCUUCCAUUAACUUAAUCUUCCUCAGAAGAGCCCUUCUGCUGCCAAGUACUUAAGAGUGUCACUUGGGAUUUAGAUGCCAUUUUUGUUCACUACUGAAGACCGGUCAUGUGUAGGAAUCUGCAGCCUUGAUAAUAGGGUUUACAGAACACCAUGAAAAUAGAUUACUGACUGCUGAAAACAUUUUAAAAAGACAAUGUUACCUUUUUUACUAGCCUUAAGUGCUUUCUGGCAUGGAAGACUUAAUGAUUGUUUACUCCGGUACGUUUUCUAGAAUGUCAGCUUAGAACAAAAUAAGGAACAUCAUAAUAAUUAGCUGAGAUGCUGACAAUAUGAACCAAGAGUUGAGAUCAAUACAUGUUUCCAUACACAUCAUUUUAGAAAACAAAACUGUAUUUCUGUGAUCAGAAAAUGCAUCAAACUUUUUUAAUUGUCCUAGCAUAUGCUGUUAUCUCAGUAAUGAAACCAGUUUUGCUUUUUUCCUUUUUUAACUCAGUUGUUAUGUGGGAAGAUGUAGUAGUAUAAAAUAGCAGGAAAUAGUAUGAGUAAAUUUAACUUGAACAGUUUAGUAUGUGUUUUAGAGAAAAGAUUAACAAGUCCAAUUUUUUUUCAACUGUCUUUUCAUCUCCAUUUUUUUCCUCUUGCAUUCUGCUUCAGCCAAGCAAUUCCAACAGUUCAGAAGGACAGAUGUUCCAUCUCAUUCUAUUCCCAGACAAGUCACUCUGUAAAAUUACAUUUCUUUUGAAACAUUAGUACAACAGUUUAAAGACCAUCAGAAGU